Molecule: ribosomal RNA, 355 nt
Filed under: uncultured bacterium
Lineage: Bacteria
Description: bacterial SSU rRNA
Rfam family: Archaeal small subunit ribosomal RNA
Source: RNAcentral
UUCCGCUGAGGAGAUCUUUUCUCAGAUCUAAAAUGUCUGGGGAAUAAGGGGAGGGCAAGUCUGGUGUCAGCCGCCGCGGUAAUACCAGCUCCUCGAGUGGUCAGGGCGUUUAUUGGGCCUAAAGCAUCCGUAGCCGGCUCAGUAGGUCUCCUGUUAAAUCCAACGGCUCAACCGUUGGUCUGCAGGAGAUACCGCUGGGCUAGGAGGCGGGAGAGGCGGACGGUACUCCGAGGGUAGGGGUAAAAUCCUUUGAUCCCCGGAAGACCACCAGUGGCGAAGGCGGUCCGCCAGAACGCGCUCGACGGUGAGGGAUGAAAGCUGGGGGAGCGAACCGGAUUAGAUACCCCCGUAGUCC